UGAAAUUGAACUCCCCAGUGAGCCUCGGC
RNAcentral lists this non-coding RNA (29 nucleotides) under Cricetulus griseus (Chinese hamster). The record is from RNAcentral. Lineage: Eukaryota; Metazoa; Chordata; Mammalia; Rodentia; Cricetidae.